GGUUCCUACGGGAGGCAGCAGUGAGGAAUAUUGGUCAAUGGCCGAGAGGCUGAACCAGCCAAGUCGCGUGAGGGAAGACGGCCCUACGGGUUGUAAACCUCUUUUGUCGGGGAGCAAAGAGAGUCACGUGUGACUCAUUGAGAGUACCCGAGGAAAAAGCAUCGGCUAACUCCGUGCCAGCAGCCGCGGUAAUACGGAGGAUGCGAGCGUUAUCCGGAUUUAUUGGGUUUAAAGGGUGCGUAGGCGGGCUGUUAAGUCAGCGGUAAAAGCCCGGGGCUCAACCCCGGCGAGCCGUUGAAACUGGC
This 305-nucleotide ribosomal RNA is filed under the name uncultured bacterium. RNAcentral describes it as "bacterial SSU rRNA". It matches the Rfam family "Bacterial small subunit ribosomal RNA", at positions 334 to 637 of the family's 1533-position model. The record is from RNAcentral.